Molecule: long non-coding RNA, 1556 nt
Filed under: Rattus norvegicus (Norway rat)
Lineage: Eukaryota; Metazoa; Chordata; Mammalia; Rodentia; Muridae
Description: long non-coding RNA NONRATT000740
Source: RNAcentral
UUUCUGAACAAUGUAACUUUAAUGGGCAUUAAGGUUGGCAAACAGGUUAAGGAAACCAAGCCUAGUGUUUUAACUUCAGCCUAGUCUGCUCUGAAGUUAGCAUUUGAUGCUAACACAUGCUGCUGGUUAAACAAAACUUUGUACUACUGAACAGUGUCAGGAAACGAGUAAAUCAUACAGAUAAAAAGUGUCCUUCUUGGAAAAUUUGAAGCAGUCUUCUCUUUUUAAAGUGCGUGUGUCUACUUUUAGUAUUCUUACAAAUUGGCUUUAUAUAAAACAAGCUGAAAAUUCAAUGGCUUUAAUAAUACUUACAAGGCUAGGGAAUAUAGCUCAGUGGUGAGCUCUGUCUAAAAUAGGCAGAGUCCUGGAACCACCACAAGGACGGAAAUAACUAUAUAUAUAUUACAUAUAAUAUAUAUAUGUUUUAUAUAUAUAGUGUACAUAUACAUGUAUAUAUAAAUGUAUAUAUUUGUAUUACGAACCAUUUAAAAUUGGCACCAAAGCAAUUAGGUUUUGGGAACAUGUAUAUAUAGGGAGUAGGCGAAAACACUGUCAGUUUCUAAACUGUCAAGUAGUAGCAGGGUGCUGUGCAUAGAGGCUUUGUGAGAAGUAUGCUUGUUCCCUCCAUGGGAUAGGGUCUGUCCAGAUGCCCAGCCUGGGACCUGAGAACCUCCUCUAGCAUGACACUCAAGCACCACCAGGCAGGGCCAGCAGGAGGUCUGUCCAGAUGCUCAUGCCAGGAACCUCAAAAUCGCCAUCCAAGGCUUUGCAGGAACGCAGGGUCACCAGCACCUCUUCCUGCAGAAAUGGCUGGGCCUGGCACAAGCUCUGCAGCCUUAGACACAGCUCUUCCCAGGGCAUGUCCUCCAGCUGUGUGGGAACCCAGGCGCCCUUCUGCAGAUCAUAAUGCAGCCGCGUGGCCCACGCUGUGAGCAGGUCCAGGUAGGCACGAGACAGUGCGUGGUGGCAGCCCGCCACAGAGGCCAGGCGCUUAGCUGGCAGAUGGCGGCAAAAAGCGGCCAGUACCUCGGUACUUUCUAGAAGCCAGUGCAGUAGUUUUUGUGUUUCAUCCGCUCCCGCAGAGUCUGCGGCCUGGGCUGGCUCCGGGUCCGCCUCGCGCAACAGAGCUUCCGCCAUCACGCUGAGCACGUGCUCCCGCGGCCCGUGCUCCCACAGCGUAUCCAGGAGUUUGCGCGCGGCCGUAGAGUCCGCACCGCCCAGCUCCUGAAGGCGCGCGUACAGCAGCUCCGCGUGCGUGCGCAGCAGCGCGCCCUUAGGCGCGUCCCCGCCGAGGCGGAACAGCAGGUGCAGCGCGCUUCCGCGGCGUGCCAGGAGGACCAAGCGGGACUGCGGCACGUCGUCUACGUUGUCUGCGGCAGGGCCUGGGAAGAGCAAGCCUGGCAACGCGCGGGCGGCGGCGGGCGCGAGCGCGCGGUUACGCAGCAGGCGUAGGGCGAGCCGCACGUCCCCAGACUCCAGCGCCGCAAAGCUACGCAGGCCGAGAGGCCCUCUCCGCACGUGGAGCCGCCUCUCUAGCGCCUCCCGCACGCGGCCGC